CCUACGGGAGGCAGCAGUGGGGAAUAUUGCACAAUGGGGGAAACCCUGAUGCAGCGACGCCGCGUGAGUGAAGAAGUAUUUCGGUAUGUAAAGCUCUAUCAGCAGGGAAGAAGAAAGACGGUACCUGACUAAGAAGCCCCGGCUAACUACGUGCCAGCAGCCGCGGUAAUACGUAGGGGGCAAGCGUGAUCCGGAUUUACUGGGUGUAACGGGAGCGUAGACGGCUGUGCAAGUCUGAAGUGAAAGCCCAGGGCUCAACCCUGGGACUGCUUUGGAAACUGUGGAGCUAGAGUGCUGGAGAGGUAAGUGGAAUUCCUAGUGUAGCGGUGAAAUGCGUAGAUAUUAGGAGGAACACCAGUGGCGAAGGCGGCUUGCUGGACAGUAACUGACGUUGAGGCUCGAAAGCGUGGGGAGCAAACAGGAUUAGAUACCCCUGUAGUC
RNAcentral lists this ribosomal RNA (441 nucleotides) under uncultured bacterium. RNAcentral describes it as "partial 16S ribosomal RNA". It matches the Rfam family "Bacterial small subunit ribosomal RNA", at positions 338 to 795 of the family's 1533-position model. The record is from RNAcentral.